Molecule: ribosomal RNA, 659 nt
Filed under: Pontomyia natans
Lineage: Eukaryota; Metazoa; Arthropoda; Insecta; Diptera; Chironomidae
Description: partial large subunit ribosomal RNA
Rfam family: Eukaryotic large subunit ribosomal RNA
Source: RNAcentral
UGUCUAGGGGCUCAAACCUAAAGAACCCAAAUAUCUAAACGGAGAGAUUCAAUACUGAAUUUAACACUCAGUGUGCACUUCUCUCUUAGUAAGACGCCGUGAUCCAUUAGAAAUUGGUAGACGCCAGUCUAUAUGAGGUCAUCAAUGGGCUUGUACGAAGUUUAUUGGAACGAAUGACAUAAUCUUUCAACGGUUGUGUGUAUUGUCUGGUAAGCGUGCGAGUACUCGUAAUGACUGUCUGAUGGAUUUUAAAGAUUGUAUCACUGAUGUUACGGCAUCACUCGCUUCGGCGAGCGUUUGAUAUGUAUCCGAUCAACGGCGGUUAAAUUUGGGAUACCUUUUGGACCCGUCUUGAAACACGGACCAAGGAGUCUAUCUAAUGUGCGAGUAAAUGAGUUGUAAACUUAUUUGCGUAAUAAACGUAACUAUUUAAUGGGAUUACGAGUCACCAUGCUCUUCCAUCCCGGAGUAUUUUCAUCCACAUAUACGCAAGUAUAUGGAAAAUAUAUCAUGAGCAUAUUGGAUACGACCCGAAAGAUGGUGAACUAUGCUUGAUCAGGUCGAAGUCAGGGGAAACCCUGAUGGAGGACCGAAGCAGUUCUGACGUGCAAAUCGAUUGUCAGAAUUGAGCAUAGGGGCGAAAGACCAAUCGAACCAUC